GAAAUGCGAUAAGUAAUGUGAAUUGCAGAAUUCAGUGAAUCAUCGAAUCUUUGAACGCACCUUGCGCUCCUUGGCAUUCCGAGGAGCAUGCCUGUUUGAGUGUCAUUGAAUCUCUCUCAGAAUCCUUCCCGGGGUUUGGAUUUGUGGAGGAUGCAUUGCUACCCAAAAUGCUGGGUUUGCGCUUGCUUCUCUGAAAUGGAUUGGCAUCAAGGCGGCAAUUUACGUCGGUAUGAUACAAUCAAUGUCUUACCUGCUCGUGACCCAUGCCGGCCCAGCCAGAAAUGACGAUGGUCAGUCAGUCUCACACAAUUUGACCUCAAAUCAGGCAGGACUACCCGCUGAACUUAA
RNAcentral lists this unclassified non-coding RNA (348 nucleotides) under uncultured fungus. Its description in RNAcentral is "sequence contains ITS1". The stretch from base 1 to 105 matches the Rfam family "5.8S ribosomal RNA", at positions 50 to 154 of the family's 154-position model. Lineage: Eukaryota; Fungi. The record is from RNAcentral.